CCGAGCCAAGGGCAGUAUUGGCCCUCUCCGUUCAAUGAAGCGGUUGCUUUUUUGUGCCGGCAAUGAGUUGGGCCGGGGCGGUGGCGGCUCCCUGCCUGUGGCAGCUGCGCCCGGGUGCCCAGCGGUCGCUCUCAGCUUAUGGAAGAAGAAUCAUUGUCAGAUUUCGCAGUUCAGGAAUGACCUUAGACAAUAUCAAUCGGGCAGCUGUGGAUCGAAUAAUCCGGGUGGAUCAUGCAGGCGAAUAUGGAGCAAACUGCAUCUAUACCGGGCAGAUGGCCGUCCUGGGUCGGACAAGCGUCGGGCCAGUCAUUCAGAAAAUGUGGGAUCAAGAAAAGGACCAUUUGAAAAAGUUCAGUGAGUUGAUGGUUACGUUCAGGGUCCGGCCGACAGUUCUGAUGCCCUUUUGGAACGUGCUGGGGUUUGCGCUGGGGCCAGGGACUGCCUUGCUCUGGAAGGAAGGUGCAAUGGCCUGCACCGUGGCAGUGGAAGAGAGCAUAGCACAUCACUACAACAAUCAGAUCAGGAAGCUGAUGGAGGAGGACCCUGAAAAAUACGAGGAACUUCUUCAGGUGAUAAAGAAAUUUCGGGAUGAAGAGCUUGAGCACCAUGACACAGGCCUUGAACAUGAUGCCGAAUUGGCUCCAGCCUAUGCCGUCCUGAAGAGCGUUAUCCAAGCUGAAUGCAAAGUGGCCAUAUAUUUAUCAGAAAGAUUGUAAAGUGUGUCCAGUUAUGCCUGUCUAUAAAAGAUGAUAGUAAUUUGCCAAGUGACAUUUGCAGAGAAACAAGUGUAUAGUUAUCAUUGUACUUUUGUACAAUGUGAAUUUUGUUAAUUAAAUUAUAAGGU
This is an RNA transcript of Rhinopithecus roxellana (golden snub-nosed monkey), 844 nucleotides long. It is a transcript of the gene named 5-demethoxyubiquinone hydroxylase, mitochondrial pseudogene, with no coding region annotated. The transcript has a single exon. The record is from RefSeq and is a predicted model, not a curated record. NCBI's taxonomy places the organism in Eukaryota, Metazoa, Chordata, Mammalia, Primates, Cercopithecidae.